UGCCUCUUUCUUGAAUCUUUCCUUGCCUUCCAAGUCUGAGGCCAAUUUCAUAUUUCACCCUGGAAGCUGUCCAGUUUAUAAAACCAACAUUUAUGUGUUUGCUUAGUUUUUUUCAUGGUGAAGAAGCUGAAUGAAAAACUUGAUAUUUAUCCCCUGAAUACAGAGGAGCUUGGCCCUACCUAACUUCCCCCUGCUCCCAAAAAUGCCAAGUUAAGCAGCAAUGUUAUACUCUCACCUCCCUACCUCAAGGUAAUCAAGCUUUUUAUUACCAUUCAGAUGAGCAGAUUAUAUGUCAACUUUUCAAAAGUAAAAAAAAAAAAAAUUUUGGAUAAGCACUGAUCUCUUUAUGUCUCAUCUUUUCCCUCCUUUGUUUUAAAAAAAAGCUUUAGUGUAAGGUUUACACAUAGAAUUCUGGAUAUGGUAAAGCUUAAAAUGUCUAUUUUGUACCCUACUAACCAACUUUUUGAAGAUACAUAAUUUGUAAUUGUCCUUUUUCAUAUUUUUGAACUUCUAUUCUUACUAAUGUGUUUUUAAAAAUAAAACUUGGAAAUAUUAUUAAGCAUUUCCAAUAUUUACUUUACAUAAUCUAAUAAAUUUGAUGAACUCUAGAAGGAAUCAGCAAUC
Molecule: long non-coding RNA, 624 nt
Organism: Bubalus bubalis (water buffalo)
Lineage: Eukaryota; Metazoa; Chordata; Mammalia; Artiodactyla; Bovidae
Exons: 2
Source: RefSeq, a predicted model, not a curated record